UACGUAGGGCGCUAGCGUUGUCCGGAAUCAUUGGGCGUAAAGAGCGUGUAGGCGGCCCGGUAAGUCCGCUGUGAAAGUCGGGGGCUCAACCCUCGAAUGCCGGUGGAUACUGUCGGGCUAGAGUGCGGAAGAGGCGAGUGGAAUUCCUGGUGUAGCGGUGAAAUGCGCAGAUAUCAGGAGGAACACCGAUUGCGAAGGCAGCUCGCUGGGACGUAACUGACGCUGAGACGCGAAAGCGUGGGGAGCAAACAGG
This 253-nucleotide ribosomal RNA is filed under the name uncultured bacterium. RNAcentral describes it as "partial 16S ribosomal RNA". It matches the Rfam family "Bacterial small subunit ribosomal RNA", at positions 524 to 776 of the family's 1533-position model. The record is from RNAcentral.